UUGUAAAACCGUAACUUGGAUCUCAUUUAGUUUUUUUUCGGUUGGUUUCAAUCUGGUUUAUGAAUGUAUGAAUAUUUGAAAUAAUAAUAGUUUCACCAUUAUAUUUUGUUAUAAUAAGCAAAAGUCAUGGUGGUGGAGGUGAAUUGACCAAUGGCUCAUGUAUCACUGAAAGCACAAUGCCUUUUACCCACUUACCAUGG
Arabidopsis thaliana (thale cress) is the source of this 200-nucleotide long non-coding RNA. RefSeq annotates it as other RNA. The record is from RefSeq. The transcript has a single exon. NCBI's taxonomy places the organism in Eukaryota, Viridiplantae, Streptophyta, Magnoliopsida, Brassicales, Brassicaceae.